ACUCCUACGGGAGGCAGCAGUGAGGAAUAUUGGACAAUGGGCGCAAGCCUGAUCCAGCCAUGCCGCGUGCAGGAUGACGGUCCUAUGGAUUGUAAACUGCUUUUAUACAGGAAGAAACACCUCUACGUGUAGAGACUUGACGGUACUGUAAGAAUAAGGAUCGGCUAACUCCGUGCCAGCAGCCGCGGUAAUACGGAGGAUCCAAGCGUUAUCCGGAAUCAUUGGGUUUAAAGGGUCCGUAGGCGGUUUAGUAAGUCAGUGGUGAAAGCCCAUCGCUCAACGGUGGAACGGCCAUUGAUACUGCUAGACUUGAAUUAUUAGGAAGUAACUAGAAUAUGUAGUGUAGCGGUGAAAUGCUUAGAGAUUACAUGGAAUACCAUUGCGAAGGCAGGUUACUACUAAUUGAUUGACGCUGAUGGACGAAAGCGUGGGUAGCGAACAGGAUUAGAUACCCUAGUAGGAUAGCGU
This 468-nucleotide ribosomal RNA is filed under the name uncultured bacterium. RNAcentral's name for it is "bacterial SSU rRNA". It matches the Rfam family "Bacterial small subunit ribosomal RNA", at positions 335 to 800 of the family's 1533-position model. The record is from RNAcentral.